UUUUCCAAACAGUACAUUUUAUUUGACAUUAGGCAACACAUUCCCAAAUUUAUCUCAGUUGUGGUAUGUAGAUGGCUUUAGAUUGCUUUUUGGUGGUCAUCCAUGCUGAGCAAGAUUUUUCAAUCUUCAAAACACUCAAAGCUCAAAGAUUCUGCAUUUCACAUCAGUUCACAAAUCGGAAGAGCAUAC
Long non-coding RNA from Herpailurus yagouaroundi (jaguarundi), 189 nucleotides. RefSeq lists it as uncharacterized. The transcript has 3 exons. NCBI's taxonomy places the organism in Eukaryota, Metazoa, Chordata, Mammalia, Carnivora, Felidae. The record is from RefSeq and is a predicted model, not a curated record.